Molecule: ribosomal RNA, 422 nt
Filed under: uncultured bacterium
Lineage: Bacteria
Description: bacterial SSU rRNA
Rfam family: Bacterial small subunit ribosomal RNA
Source: RNAcentral
UAAGGAAUAUUGGUCAAUGGACGCAAGUCUGAACCAGCCAUGCCGCGUGGAGGAUGAAGGUCCUCUGGAUUGUAAACUUCUUUUAUCUGGGACGAAACACUUCUUUUCUAAGAGGCCUGACGGUACCAGAUGAAUAAGCACCGGCUAACUCCGUGCCAGCAGCCGCGGGAAUACGGAGGGUGCAAGCGUUAUCCGGAUUCACUGGGUUUAAAGGGUGCGUAGGUGGGUAUGUAAGUCAGUGGUGAAAUCCCCGAGCUUAACUUGGGAACUGCCAUUGAUACUAUAUAUCUUGAAUACCGUAGAGGUAAGCGGAAUAUGUCAUGUAGCGGUGAAAUGCUUAGAUAUGACAUGGAACACCAAUUGCGAAGGCAGCUUACUAUGCGGUGAUUGACACUGAGGCACGAAAGCGUGGGUAGCAAACA